This 253-nucleotide ribosomal RNA is filed under the name uncultured bacterium. RNAcentral's name for it is "partial small subunit ribosomal RNA". It matches the Rfam family "Bacterial small subunit ribosomal RNA", at positions 26 to 287 of the family's 1533-position model. The record is from RNAcentral.
AGGACGAACGCUGGCGGCGUGCUUAACACAUGCAAGUCACGGGGGCCCAGCAAUGGGUAACCGGCGAACGGGUGCGUAACACGUGAGCAACCUGCCGAUCUGAGGGGGAUAGCCGGCCCAACGGCCGGGUAAUACCGCAUACGGUUUGUGAGGGACAUCCCUUAUGAACGAAACCUCCGGGGCAGAUCGAGGGGCUCGCGGCCUAUCAGCUAGUUGGUGCGGGUAACGGCCCACCAAGGCGACGACGGGUAGC